RNAcentral lists this ribosomal RNA (209 nucleotides) under Sordariales sp. Its description in RNAcentral is "partial large subunit ribosomal RNA". Lineage: Eukaryota; Fungi; Ascomycota; Sordariomycetes; Sordariales. The record is from RNAcentral.
AAGCGCUCAUGACCAGACUUGCGCCGGGUUGAUCAUCCAGUGUUCUCACUGGUGCACUCUUCCCGGCUCAGGCCAGCAUCGGUUCUGUCGGGGGCAUAAAGGCUUUGGGAACGUAGCUCUUUCGGGAGUGUUAUAGCCCAUUGUGUAAUACCCCCGAUGGGACCGAGGACCGCGCUCUGCAAGGAUGCUGGCGUAAUGGUCAUCAGCGA